Molecule: long non-coding RNA, 406 nt
Filed under: Homo sapiens (human)
Lineage: Eukaryota; Metazoa; Chordata; Mammalia; Primates; Hominidae
Description: non-protein coding lnc-CEP128-1:1
Source: RNAcentral
GAAUGGUUGUCAAAUCCUUUCUACCUCCUUAUUCAGAGAAGGAAGGAUCUUCUCAUGCACAGAGGCAACAAAUGGCAACUUUCUGAGUCCUCAUCUAUAAAAUGAGCAUAAUAACAUCACCUACUUAAUUGGAUUUGGUGAGGAUUCACUGGGUGAGUUCAUGCAAAGCGCUGAGAACAGGACCCCCCGCCCCCGUUAGCAUUGUCAGCUGCUUCUUGAACACAGGUGAAGAUGGUCACCUCUCUAUGGCGGCCUCAGCUCUUACCCGUACAUCAAGACUAUUCUAGCAACCAAUUGGGAGCUUGAGUGCCCAUUUUAAAUUCUCAAAGGAUAAAGAGCCUGAUUGGCCCAAAUUGUCUCAGGUGUCUCUCUACUCCUUGUCUAAUCAGCCAUGGUGAGACAGGUA